This 1347-nucleotide ribosomal RNA is filed under the name uncultured bacterium. Its description in RNAcentral is "partial 16S ribosomal RNA". It matches the Rfam family "Bacterial small subunit ribosomal RNA", at positions 28 to 1381 of the family's 1533-position model. The record is from RNAcentral.
GACGAACGCUGGCGGCGUGCUUAACACAUGCAAGUCGAACGGAAAGGCCCUGCUUUUGUGGGGUGCUCGAGUGGCGAACGGGUGAGUAACACGUGAGUAACCUGCCCUUGACUUUGGGAUAACUUCAGGAAACUGGGGCUAAUACCGGAUAGGAGCUCCUGCUGCAUGGUGGGGGUUGGAAAGUUUCGGCGGUUGGGGAUGGACUCGCGGCUUAUCAGCUUGUUGGUGGGGUAGUGGCUUACCAAGGCUUUGACGGGUAGCCGGCCUGAGAGGGUGACCGGCCACAUUGGGACUGAGAUACGGCCCAGACUCCUACGGGAGGCAGCAGUGGGGAAUAUUGCACAAUGGGCGGAAGCCUGAUGCAGCAACGCCGCGUGCGGGAUGACGGCCUUCGGGUUGUAAACCGCUUUCGCCUGUGACGAAGCGUGAGUGACGGUAAUGGGUAAAGAAGCACCGGCUAACUACGUGCCAGCAGCCGCGGUGAUACGUAGGGUGCGAGCGUUGUCCGGAUUUAUUGGGCGUAAAGGGCUCGUAGGUGGUUGAUCGCGUCGGAAGUGUAAUCUUGGGGCUUAACCCUGAGCGUGCUUUCGAUACGGGUUGACUUGAGGAAGGUAGGGGAGAAUGGAAUUCCUGGUGGAGCGGUGGAAUGCGCAGAUAUCAGGAGGAACACCAGUGGCGAAGGCGGUUCUCUGGGCCUUUCCUGACGCUGAGGAGCGAAAGCGUGGGGAGCGAACAGGCUUAGAUACCCUGGUAGUCCACGCUGUAAACGGUGGGUACUAGGUGUGGGGUCCAUUCCACGGGUUCCGUGCCGUAGCUAACGCUUUAAGUACCCCGCCUGGGGAGUACGGCCGCAAGGCUAAAACUCAAAGGAAUUGACGGGGCCCCGCACAAGCGGCGGAGCAUGCGGAUUAAUUCGAUGCAACGCGUAGAACCUUACCUGGGUUUGACAUGGAUCGGGAGUGCUCAGAGAUGGGUGUGCCUCUUUUGGGGUCGGUUCACAGGUGGUGCAUGGCUGUCGUCAGCUCGUGUCGUGAGAUGUUGGGUUAAGUCCCGCAACGAGCGCAACCCUUGUUCACUGUUGCCAGCACGUUAUGGUGGGGACUCAGUGGAGACCGCCGGGGUCAACUCGGAGGAAGGUUGGGGAUGACGUCAAGUCAUCAUGCCCCUUAUGUCCAGGGCUUCACGCAUGCUACAAUGGCUGGUACAGAGAGUGGCGAGCCUGUGAGGGUGAGCGAAUCUCGGAAAGCCGGUCUCAGUUCGGAUUGGGGUCUGCAACUCGACCUCAUGAAGUCGGAGUCGGUAGUAAUCGCAGAUCAGCAACGCUGCGGUGAAUACGUUCCCGGGGCU